Molecule: long non-coding RNA, 4949 nt
Organism: Acipenser ruthenus (sterlet)
Lineage: Eukaryota; Metazoa; Chordata; Actinopteri; Acipenseriformes; Acipenseridae
Exons: 4
Source: RefSeq, a predicted model, not a curated record
AAUUAAAUUUUUUUCUUUUUUUUUUCUUUUUUACUUGCUUAAAAAAGAGCGCCUUUUUAUAAUAAAUAUUUUCGUGAUGAGAAGGUUAUAUUUUAGUUUUUGAGCAAAUAAUUGCUUAUCCAAGGCAUUCUCUCACACUGGAAUGUACUUUAGUUCUGGAAAAAUUAAUUAUUUGUGAAAAGCAUUAUCAAAAUUGUUAAACCAUGGACAAUUAUUUCAUUUUUUGCAUCACUAAAAAAACAUUUAAAACAGAAUUCCUUUCAAGUCAACUACAAUAACUACUACAAGUAAUUAAUUGAACAGGUAUUCAAGAACCUUUGCUACCCACCAGUAAAUAACUUUUAAGUCCUUUUUUUUGUUUUUUAAAUGCAUUGUUCAAAGAAACCGUUAAGAAAAAGACAAUUGAUAUGCAAAGUAGAAUGUAAUUUUUAUUUUAGUAGCCAGUAUUUAAGAUGAAAUAGAUUUACGGGGUAAUGCCAUUUUCAUUUUACUUUUAAAUAGUGUGUUUGCAAACAAGGUGUAUCUGAGCUUAUAAUAUCCACUUUUUAAAUAACGUGUAGCAUUAUUUUUAUUAUGGUAUUAACUAUGGAACCCAAAUAAUAAAUAUAGAGGUUUAAACAAGUACAGCUACCACUUCCAUAAUGUCAUCUAAGUGAUUAAAUAAUUUAGAAAAAUACUAUUUCAUUACCAUAACAUUUAGCAGGCAGCAAGUCUUUGUGGUGGUGGUGGUCUAUAUCCACACAUUUACAAGUAUACAGGUACUCAUGCAGUGUUUUCUUAGCAUUUUUAAUAAAAACAGUUCCUUCCAUCUAAACACGUUGCACUUCUUUUGACCUACAAACAUUUGUAUUUGUAUUGCUUAUUGUGUCCUCCACCCCACCUAUAGUCUAUAAAAACUUGAUGUAUAAGGGUGGAUUCAUGCCACUGUUUGCAAAAGUAUUGCCCCAUCAAAAUAAUUCUGCUAUUCUGUGUUGUAUGCUUUUGUGCUUAGUGGAAAACUGUUCUGAGAAAGGUUGGUCACCAAAGAAGGCCACCAAAAGCAGCCUUCUUAUUUUGCUAAUUUUUGGUCAUUUUCUGUGGAGCCAUGAUCUGUUCACGAUAGUACUGAUCUGUUGCAAGGCCAACCAAAUGGUAAGUCAUAUUCUGUUGUGUUGUCUAAACAAUGUGAUCUAGUCUCACAAUUUUGAUAGAUUUAUAGGUUUGAAGCAAGAGCAAAGAAAAGACAACUGCUGUAGCAGAAAUUAUAGGGAAAACUUUGCACUUUCUCAAAAAAAGGCUGCAUUGGAAUAGCUGUCUUAUAUCUAGGGUUAAAAACAUUGAGAAUAAUGAUGUCUGCUAUCAAUUUUCCUAUGAUUUAGAUCCAAGGGUGUUUUGGAUUGAAAUCGGGGGAAUGUGGUUACCAACCAAUUAUCCAAUAAAAUACCUUUUGACAUACCUUUUGUUGUCCAUGUAGAAUCGUGAAAUGAUCAUUGAGACAAAAUAAAAAAAAAAACACCAUUUGUGCCAUAGUUUACCUCCUUCUAUGCAAUAUCUGAAACAAAAACACAUUAGGAAUGUGAAAAAACGCCAAGUUAUCAGAAGUGCCCAGCCAUUUAAAGUGCACAAUAAUAAUCAGGCACAAUAAAAGCAGAUCAAACCAUGAAAAACACAAGCCAAGUUAGUAGAAGCAAUUGGGGCAACCUUGGCCCUCACCGCUUUAACAGUUGUGUAUAUUUUGCUUUGUGCUGGGCAAGGCUGCCCCAAUGGUUUCUUGAAACUUGGCUUGUGUUUUUGAUAUCUCCACUGGGCCUUUUGAUAACUUGCUGUUUUUUCACAUUUCCAGUGUUUUUGUUUCAGAUAACACAACACGCUUGCAAACUGAAGGUUAUAGUUUCAAAUCCCACGCAUUUUUUGCAGGUAAAUGUUCCAUUUUAAAACAGAAAUAAAUCAUUUAAUAUAAAUGAUAUAGCCGGCACAAUAGGUAAGUUCCCUAGUAUAUUAACAUGUUGACAAAACAAGUUAAUUGUCAUUAAACUCGGAUGUCCUUUAAUACACAUGCGUGGAGUGCCAGGGGUCCGCAAAAAUCUGUAAAAAAAAAAAAAAAAAACGGAGAAAAAGGAGGUCAUUUUUAACUUUGACUUAUUUCUCUUACUGUGACAAGUAUUGACUUUUUUUUUCAAUUCACUUGAGAGUUAAACUACAAAUUAAAAGUGAAAUGGUGCUUUUGGCUAAAUUUACUUUUGCUGUUCCUAUAGCCUGAAAACACGUAAACUAUCCUUGCUGUAUAGAGUCUGGCAGUUUUCGCUGAUAACAAUGUCUACAGAAGCCCAUUUUCUCUGGCAAACUUACUGAUUGGUCUGACUGCUGUACAAAAUACAAUUUGAUCUCACUUGACUUUCUGACCCAUCUGAGAUUUGGUCAGAGACAUUUUUGUCUUGCCAGAGUUAAUAUAGCUUACCCAGCCAUCGUGGCGGCCUGGAUAUAUGAGGUUGUGAAGCUGGGUGUUGUAUUUUAAUUUUAAACUGCAGACUUUUUGAAGCUUGCAGUUGAGAUUUGCAAUGUCUUUUGUCCUUUUUUGUUAUGUAUGUCAUUCCCUUCGAUUUCUGAGAUGUAUUUACACGUGAUUGUAAAAAAAACAAACAAUAUAGAUUGUAUAAAAAGAGCACUUUAUUCAAAUUAAUAUCGGGCAACAGCUAUUCAAAGUACAAUAUAAUAUAGCAUAAUUACUAUGGUAGUUUUAAUUGGUGCAUAUUUGUGAAAUGUAUAGUUACAUAUCUAUAAAAUUGUUUGCACAUGGAGAGGGGAUUGAAGGGUAUAGUCUGUUUUCAUUUGUUAUCCCUCUUGGUAAGCACAUGGGUUUCAGUAACGUGCAGUGAGAAUAAACAGGCCUUCGGGAGGCUCCCUAAACACUCAACACGUAAACCAAAAUGCUUUCCUGUAGAGGUGUCAUUAUAUUCUACUGCCAUCACUGAUUGUGUCAUUAGGAGAACAGCAUGCAUAAAAGAGGGGAGGAUUGUUUUAUUACAAGUCUUUUAUUCUGUUUUGAAAAGAUAAGGCCAGGUUAGGAACAAUGCAGCAUCAUCUAAUGUAUGUUUACAGUCCUGGUCAGACAGUAGUCUUUAAUCUGACUAUAAUAGGACAUUAUUGUCCAGUUCGGCUCCUUGGCAUCUAGAAAACCAGCCGUUUACGUAUUAUAACCGUGUAAGAUGAACAAAAAUGAAUGAUUCAACUACUGUAUAUAAGACCAUAAGAAAGUUUACAAAUGAGAGGAGGCCAUUCAGCCCAUCUUGCUUGUUUGUAGCUUAUUGAUCCCAGAAUCUCAUCAAGCAGCUUCUUGAAGGAUCCCAGGGUGUCAGCUUCAACAACAUUACAACAAGAUGCACGAUUAUUAUUAUUAUUUAUUUUAGUACAGCAGCAGUGUCCCCCACCUGGGAUUGAACCCACGACCCUCUGGUCAAGAGUCCAGAGCCCUAACCACUACUCCACACUGCUGCCCAUAAAUAUGUACAGAUGGAUAUGUACUGUUCUGUUUGACUUCAAAAAUGUGAUACAAUUAAGACUCCCGAGUGGCGCAUCCGGUAAAGGUGCUCUGCGUGGAGUGCAGGAUGCACUCUAUAGCCUGGAUGUUGCCGGUUUGAGUCCAGGUUAUUCCAUAGCCGACCGUGGACAGGAGCUCCCAGGGGGCGGCACAAUUGGCCAAGCGUCGCCCGGGGAGGUGGGGGUAGGGCUUAGGUUGUCCAAGGUGUCCUCGGCUCACCGCGCACCAGUGACCCCUGUAGUCUGGCCGGGCGUCUGCGGGUUUGCCUGUAAGCUGCCCGAGAGCUGUGUUGUCCUCCAACGCUGUGGCUGCAUGGUGAGUCCGCAUUGUGAAAAAAAAAAAAAAGCGGUCAGCUGACGGCACACACUUCGGAGAACAGCGUGUGUUGUUCUUCGCCCUCCCGAGUCAGUGCAGGGGUGGUAGCGGUGAGCUGAGCCUAAAAAUAAUUGCCCAUUCCAAAUUGGGAGAAAAUAAUUUUAAAAAAAAUUGGCAAUGACUAAAUUUAAAAAAUAAAUGAUACAAUUCUAUACAGCACAUACUUAAUUUUGAUCUGUGUAUAAUGUGGCCUAUGUUCUUCUUGGAUACCAUCCUUUGUACACCAUUGGAAUGUCUGCAUGCCAUUGGUACUACAUUCUGCGAAUGGCUUUGUUUAAGCCCUACAGACACCUUCUUCAUAAUCCAAAGCAGUGGUGCUUGACUUUGUUACAUACACCCAGUGGGAACACAAUCAUUUUCUUACUCACAUUUAAAUACUUAACAUGCUGUCCUGGGAAUACAUCAAGUGUAACAUAAGGUAAUGCGAUUCAGGUGAAUCCCAACUACUAUAAAAUGCUCUAAAAAAUGCACCGCUAUUCAUUACGGAUGUAGGUGUCGGAUACGGUAGAACAUUUGUACAAUAAAUUUAAAACUAUGGAAGAGAAAUGUGAUGUUUCAUUUUCGACUGAAAAGGGUGAAGUCUUAAUGUUUUAUAUUUUCAAAUAGGUUUCAGAAUGCAACGUUGUUUUUUUUUUGUUUUUUGUUUUUUGUUUUUUGUUUUUUUAAUUGCAGAAAGGUCUAACCAAAGACAUAGUGAACCUAGGCCUCCAACGGUGAAAAACCAACCAAGGCUGGUGAAUGAUCCAUCUGUGCCACCUAGCCCCUGGCAUAAUCCAAUAGAAUGGCACAGUUUUCAGACUGAGAUGAGUGGACUGUGUUGAGGCAGUAUCUUUAGGGCCAGCAUGAAUGUAGCGCAGGGAAUUAUUUCUGGAUUUGCCCUGUUACCAUGAAAGAUUGUACAGUAUUUAUCGAGAUUACUCAAGACUUCAAGGUAUAAGUCUUGGGUAGAAGAAAGCCUGGGAAUCAGCAACAUCCAUGGACAUCACCAACUGCCUCUGAUAAGCUCUUUCAUCUAUAGAAAUGUCUGGGCUACCGACCAGAGGAUAGCUCUUCAUCA